RNAcentral lists this transfer RNA (76 nucleotides) under compost metagenome. Its description in RNAcentral is "tRNA-Cys". It matches the Rfam family "tRNA". Rfam says of the family: Transfer RNA (tRNA) molecules are approximately 80 nucleotides in length. The record is from RNAcentral.
GCGUAGAUGACUGAGUGGCUUAGGUCGCGGAUUGCAAAUCCGUUGCACGGGGGUUCGAAUCCCUCUCUACGCUCCA